CUCUCUCUCUCUCUCUCUCUCUCUCUCUCUCUCUCUCUCUCUCUCUCUCUCUCUCCACCGCCGCGUCGACGUCAUGCACCGGAGAAGGUCUGCCCGUCACGCCGACUUAGACUUCGACUCGUUCGGGGUUGCCUGCGUGGCGGGAGGGCCGCCACCUUUCGAGCUCGUGAUCCAGCUCGCCCGAAACGUCCCCGGCGGGUGAGCUGGACGACGUUGCGAUGCGGAUCAUGUCGUCAGCCAUCGCGCCCACCGACCGGGGAAUCAAAAUCCACGAAACGAAGGCGUCGGCCGCCAGUCCACAUUCUGUGGUGGGCUCGGCUGCCACGGCUGUGGAUGGAUAUACACGGCCAUUGCUGUCGACAUCGGCCGAAACGCAAAUAGACUGUCCUCCGUUCGGCACUACCCCCCUCGAAGAGCUCCUGUCCCUUCAUUACUAAGAGCACAUACAGACCGCUAACUCAUCUCGUCAGUCACGGCGAGGCCAGUCUGUUCCACAAAGAUGCAAAAGUCGGAGAAUAAGGGGACCUGCAUGACAUUUGCCCUGCAAAUAUUAUCGAGGGCCUUCGAAGCAUGGUCUUCCUCCCUAAACCGGGCAGACGCAUCACCCACCUUCCGAAAAUUCGUGCCAACCAGACGAAUGAAUUUUUUCCGGUCAAAUGGGAAAAAAAAAUCAACUAUCAUGUGGUCUGCUAGGUUGCCACAGACGUUCAGGAUCUCAAAUACAUCUCCCUAUACUUGCCCAGUUCUUCAAAUAAAUCCUCAUACAAGUCCUGAAUAUAUAACUAAAUGAAUUCAAAACAUAGGGUAAUUCCUUUCAUCCAGAUAUGAGGACAGAAGCCGCAACAAAAAGUCGAGGGUUAGAUCGCAUGAAAACGUGUUGUUAAUGACUGCCGAAAAAAAUGAACAAGAUAAUCUCAAUCACCACUUAUUUUAUAUUUUUGCUUCAAAAUAUACCCCUUUCUUCUUCAAUCAGAAGAAUGAGCAGUUGGAACACGUUGAAUGAAAUUAAUAGUGUGAAACAUCUUCAGUGAACUAAACACAGAUGACAGAUGAAAGAAGCAAUCAGAAAUACUAUAAUUGCGUGAUGUUUAUUUGCUCUUAGGUCAAUCAAACAAGAUGCAACUCAGGCCACACUAUAAGUGAAAUGACUGAGAAACAAAAAA
RNAcentral lists this long non-coding RNA (1163 nucleotides) under Spirodela polyrhiza (greater duckweed). RNAcentral describes it as "long non-coding RNA (SPOL_LNC000008)". Lineage: Eukaryota; Viridiplantae; Streptophyta; Magnoliopsida; Alismatales; Araceae. The record is from RNAcentral.